GAACAGAGUGCAGCAUUGUAAGAAUUUGCAUAAGAUUAACUUGGCAGGAUUCUGAUAGUUCCUUGAUAUUUAAUUCUAGGCACAGUUUCUGUCCUAGAAUUUCUGUCUUCUGUCCUUGUAUAAACCUGGAAUUACGCGGAUGGAAUUCUCCUGUCUCUUCCACAUCAAUCCCUGCCAUAUCCAUCAAGAACUCUAUUCCUGGAAUUCUCUUCUUGAAUCAAAGGUUCACUGUUAAGGCAGCCAUGGCAGGAGAGGCGCUUUCCAGAGGAAGACAGACAGGGAGCUGGGCUGUGGCCUCUUUUUCAGCUUCUGGCAGCAAGUGCCUCUAUUAGCUUGGGGUUCUGGGAACUGCUUGGCUAAAGAGAAAACCCAAGAGGGGAAGCCUCGAAGAAAACUCAGCCUUUGUGUCCUUGCUCAGGAUGAUGCAUUGCUAGCACACGGCCAGUCGUAAAAGGAAGAAAUCAAACCCAAAUGUGGAGGUGAGUUUCUUCAUGCUUUAUUUGCUUUAUUUAAAGUAUGCUGUCAGGGUACUCUGACAAGCCAGGCCUCAUGGCCUCCCAUAGGAAAUCGUGUUUGGAAAGUGUUAUAAUGUCAGUGAGACUGCGCAUUGCGCAUACCCAACUUCUUUGUUAGGAAGAAGAAAUGAUCCAGGGUCUGAGACUGAAAAGCCCACUGGCCACAAGAAGCAGGACAGAGUAUAUGUCUUGAGACUUGUGUGUAAAAUGUGCAGAUUUGUACUUCCCUAGAAAGUUGCUCAGAGGAGAGACUUUCAGGAACCUUGCUAUAUUUUAUCAUAUUUUCUUAGAUGAUGUAAUAGAGUACUACUUGUCUUCUAUAUCUGAUUCCCAGUUCCUACGUGGCAAUAUUCAUGAACACCUGAAAUAAGGACUGGGUUCUCAGUCAUCCGUGAAGCGUAUAGCGGCUGUUGGACUAAUUCCAGUUCUUACCAAGUGAGGAGAAGUGAGUUCUAGGAACAGUUCUUUGAAAGUUCUCUCAGAAUGAUUCCUUGCAGGGCAGUGUUGACUUUUGCCCGAUGUCUGAUCCGGAGAAAAAUAGUCACUUUGGACAGUCUAGAAGAUUCCAAGCUGUGCCGCUGUUUGACCACCAUGGACCUCAUCGCCCUCGGGGUCGGGAGCACUCUGGGUGCCGGGGUUUAUGUGCUCGCUGGGGAAGUCGCCAAAGCGGAUUCCGGGCCGAGUAUCGUGCUGUCCUUCCUCAUCGCCGCCCUGGCAUCUGUGAUGGCCGGCCUUUGCUAUGCCGAGUUCGGUGCCCGAGUUCCCAAGACGGGCUCCGCCUAUUUGUACACGUAUGUUACGGUCGGCGAGCUGUGGGCCUUCAUCACCGGCUGGAAUCUCAUUUUAUCCUAUGUGAUAGGUACGUCAAGUGUUGCAAGAGCGUGGAGUGGCACUUUUGAUGAACUUCUUAACAAACAGAUUGGUCAGUUUUUCAGGACAUAUUUCAAAAUGAAUUAUACCGGCCUUGCAGAAUAUCCAGACUUUUUUGCUGUGUGCCUUAUAUUACUUUUAGCAGGUCUUUUAUCUUUUGGAGUAAAAGAAUCUGCUUGGGUGAACAAAUUCUUCACAGCUAUUAAUAUUCUGGUCCUUCUCUUUGUAAUGAUUGCUGGGUUUGUGAAAGGAAAUGUGGGUAACUGGAAGAUUAGUGAAGAGUUUCUCAAAAAUAUAUCUGCCAGUGCCAGGGAGCCACCUUCUGAAAACGGGACAAGUAUCUAUGGAGCUGGUGGCUUUAUGCCUUAUGGCUUUGCAGGAACAUUGGCUGGUGCUGCGACUUGCUUUUAUGCCUUUGUGGGGUUUGACUGCAUUGCAACAACUGGUGAAGAAGUUCGGAAUCCCCAGAAAGCUAUUCCUAUUGGCAUAGUGACUUCUUUACUUGUUUGCUUUAUGGCCUAUUUUGGGGUCUCUGCAGCUUUGACACUUAUGAUGCCAUACUACCUCCUCAAUGAGAAAAGUCCCCUUCCUGUGGCAUUUGAGUAUGUUGGAUGGGGUCCUGCCAAGUACGUGGUUGCUGCAGGCUCCCUAUGUGCAUUGUCAACAAGUCUUCUUGGAUCCAUUUUCCCAAUGCCUCGGGUAAUCUAUGCUAUGGCGGAGGAUGGGUUGCUUUUCAAAUGUCUAGCUCAAAUCAAUUCCAAAACGAAGACACCAGUAAUUGCUACUUUAUCAUCCGGUGCAGUGGCAGCUGUGAUGGCAUUUCUUUUCGACCUGAAGGCACUGGUGGACAUGAUGUCUAUAGGAACCCUCAUGGCUUAUUCUCUGGUUGCAGCCUGCGUGCUCAUCCUUCGGUACCAGCCUGGUUUAUGUUAUGAGCAACCUAAAUACUCCCCUGAAAAAGAAGGCCCGGGACCAUGUGACAGUGCAGCUUCAAAAAGUGACUCCCAGGUCACCAUGCUGCAAGAUCAGGGCUUCCACCUGAGAGCCCUCCUCAACCCCUCAGCCCUGCCUACGCCACAGUCAGCUUCACUCGUGAGCUUUCUGGUGGGAUUUCUGGCAUUUCUCGUGUUGGGCCUGAGUAUUCUGACCACUUAUGGAGUCCAGGCGAUUGCCCGGCUAGAGGCCUGGAGUCUUGUUCUUCUCGUACUACUGCUUGUUCUCUGUAUCACCAUCGUCCUCAUGCUUUGGAGGCAGCCACAGAAUCAGCAAAAAGUAGCCUUCAUGGUUCCAUGUUUACCAUUUUUGCCAGCAUUGAGCAUCCUGGUGAACGUUUACCUGAUGGUCCAGCUAAGUGCAGAUACCUGGGUCAGGUUCAGCAUUUGGAUGGCACUUGGUUUCCUGAUUUAUUUUGCUUAUGGCAUUAGACACAGCCUGGAAGGUAACCCAAGUGAUGAAGAUGAUGAUGACGAUGCUUAUGUAGACAACAUUAAUGCAGCAACAGAAGAAAAGUCUGCCAUUCGAGCAAGUGACCACCACCAACGAAAUCUCAGUUUACCUUUCAUAUUUCAUGAAAAGACAAGCGAAUGCUAAUGCGUGCAAGAACCGAUCUGAUCUAGUCUUACAUUGCCCACGCUGAGUGAACUCUGAGAGGAGGUUGUCAUCAGGGUUCAUUGUCAGUGGGUUGCUGCAUGCAUAGUUCACCCUAAUUUAUACUUUUUUGUUUGGACCACAUGUCCUUAGAUGGUGAAUUAUAUGCCCAGGGGAACCUCCCAGUUCUCCCUCAGUGAUAAAUAUCCCCAAAUAGUAUGAAAGAGAGAGAGAGAGAGAGAGAGAGAGAGAUGUGCGCCAGAAUUUUUUUAAUGUAUAUACACUCUUUUAGUUAUGAUUGAAUAAAAAGCUUAUAGUACUUUUCUUUUUUGACACGAGUCAGUUUCCAUGCAAGGUUCUUGUAAUAGCAUUCUCUGAAGAAGAAUUUGUGAAUUACCAUAUAAAGGCAAUGCCAACCUUACAUUUAUGGAGAUAGCUAUGUACACUCAAGCCUAAAAUCUAUUUAGAAAAACUUAGUAGAGCCUUUAAUAUUUACUAAAAUAUGGAUCGUUACAUUUCCCUCAAGGUAAACACAAUCAACAAAACUAAAACUAAAAUGUAACUUUAUAUAUGUAUCAGUUGAUAUAUAAAACUAAUAUUGAAACUAACAUUGAUAUAUUACCAACCCCAGUUGAUAGAAAAUACCUGUUCCCAAAUUACUUUCCUUUUAAAGGAUAAGAAUUUAUCUGCUUUCAAUUUUAAUGAGAUUUUUUUACUUCUUGAAAAAGUAUUAGCGAAAAUAUUCUUCAAGUCCUGCUUGUUUUUAGGUAGUUGAUUUAAAAGAAAUUUUCAGUAAGAACUGAAGUGGAAUUCAUUCUUACCAAACUAUUUUCUAAAAUGAUUUGAAUACUUAGAAAAGAAAGAAAAGUAAUUGCCCUCCACUACUCAUAGUGACUAAUGGUGACUUCUAUUAAAGCAGUGUUAUAAGUAAAUGCUUUGUUAUCAUUUUUUAAAUCAUGUCAUAUUCCAAAAUUACAAAACAGAUAAUGAGUAGCACUAAGAUUCCAGCUCUCUAUCACUUUCAAAGUUACUCAGUGAUGACUCCUGAAAUAUUCAAGUAACAGACUUAAAAUAAAAACUUCCCAGGACAAUAGUGGCUCACACCUAUAAUCCUGACUGCUCAGGAAGCUGAGAUCUAAGGAUCAUGGUUCAAAACCAGCUGGGGCAAGAAAGUUCGUGAAACUUGUAAUCUCCAGCAAACUAGCAAAAGGCAGGAAGGGGAGCUGUGGCUCAAGUGGUAGGUCACUAGCUUUGAGCAAAAGAAGCUCAGGAAUAGCACCCAAGUCCUGAAUUUAAGACCCAGGGCCAGCACAAAUAAAUAAAUUUUCUUUUGGACUUUAAAAGAUGAAGUUAGAGGUACAUCAUGAACUAUUAAACUUCACAUAAUUGGUGUGGUGAUUUGGGGUGGGAUGAGGGAAGUUGACUAUCCUUUUUUGCUAAUGCCAAACAGUUCCUUUUUCUAUAUAUUAUCUACUUCAUGAAAUUCUCUUACAUUUUCUUAUGUAUCAAGGGGAAAAUGCUGACAUUUCUAUAGUAAAUAGUGGCAGCAAUGAUAAUUUUUUGUCAUAUAGAUGUGAAAAUAUUAUCUUUGUAUUUAGCUGAUUUUUUCUU
RNA transcript from Perognathus longimembris pacificus (Pacific pocket mouse), 4583 nucleotides. It is a transcript of the gene named solute carrier family 7 member 2, with no coding region annotated. NCBI's taxonomy places the organism in Eukaryota, Metazoa, Chordata, Mammalia, Rodentia, Heteromyidae. The transcript has 13 exons. The record is from RefSeq and is a predicted model, not a curated record.